Molecule: ribosomal RNA, 325 nt
Filed under: uncultured eukaryote
Lineage: Eukaryota
Description: partial 18S ribosomal RNA
Rfam family: Eukaryotic small subunit ribosomal RNA
Source: RNAcentral
CCCUUAGAUGUUCUGGGCCGCACGCGCGCUACACUGAUGCAUUCAACGAGCCUAUCCCUGACCGACAGGUCCGGGUAAUCUUUGAAUCUGCAUCGUGACGGGGAUAGAUUAUUGCAAUUAUUAAUCUUCAACGAGGAAUGCCUAGUAGGCGCAAGUCAUCAGCUUGCGUCGAUUACGUCCCUGCCCUUUGUACACGCCGCCCGUCGCUCCUACCGAUUGGGUGUGCUGGUGAAAUGUUCGGAUCGGUCGUUUGUCGCGGUUUCCGCGUCAUGUGGCUGAGAAGUUCAUUAAACCCUCCCACCUAGAGGAAGGAGAAGUCGUAACA